This 1105-nucleotide ribosomal RNA is filed under the name Phocaeicola vulgatus. RNAcentral's name for it is "bacterial SSU rRNA". It matches the Rfam family "Bacterial small subunit ribosomal RNA", at positions 163 to 1272 of the family's 1533-position model. The record is from RNAcentral. Lineage: Bacteria; Pseudomonadati; Bacteroidota; Bacteroidia; Bacteroidales; Bacteroidaceae.
UUAAUACAAGAUGGCAUCAUGAGUCCACAUGUUCACAUGAUUAAAGGUAUUCCGGUAGACGAUGGGGAUGCGUUCCAUUAGAUAGUAGGCGGGGUAACGGCCCACCUAGUCUUCGAUGGAUAGGGGUUCUGAGAGGAAGGUCCCCCACAUUGGAACUGAGACACGGUCCAAACUCCUACGGGAGGCAGCAGUGAGGAAUAUUGGUCAAUGGGCGAGAGCCUGAACCAGCCAAGUAGCGUGAAGGAUGACUGCCCUAUGGGUUGUAAACUUCUUUUAUAAAGGAAUAAAGUCGGGUAUGCAUACCCGUUUGCAUGUACUUUAUGAAUAAGGAUCGGCUAACUCCGUGCCAGCAGCCGCGGUAAUACGGAGGAUCCGAGCGUUAUCCGGAUUUAUUGGGUUUAAAGGGAGCGUAGAUGGAUGUUUAAGUCAGUUGUGAAAGUUUGCGGCUCAACCGUAAAAUUGCAGUUGAUACUGGAUAUCUUGAGUGCAGUUGAGGCAGGCGGAAUUCGUGGUGUAGCGGUGAAAUGCUUAGAUAUCACGAAGAACUCCGAUUGCGAAGGCAGCCUGCUAAGCUGCAACUGACAUUGAGGCUCGAAAGUGUGGGUAUCAAACAGGAUUAGAUACCCUGGUAGUCCACACGGUAAACGAUGAAUACUCGCUGUUUGCGAUAUACGGCAAGCGGCCAAGCGAAAGCGUUAAGUAUUCCACCUGGGGAGUACGCCGGCAACGGUGAAACUCAAAGGAAUUGACGGGGGCCCGCACAAGCGGAGGAACAUGUGGUUUAAUUCGAUGAUACGCGAGGAACCUUACCCGGGCUUAAAUUGCAGAUGAAUUACGGUGAAAGCCGUAAGCCGCAAGGCAUCUGUGAAGGUGCUGCAUGGUUGUCGUCAGCUCGUGCCGUGAGGUGUCGGCUUAAGUGCCAUAACGAGCGCAACCCUUGUUGUCAGUUACUAACAGGUCAUGCUGAGGACUCUGACAAGACUGCCAUCGUAAGAUGUGAGGAAGGUGGGGAUGACGUCAAAUCAGCACGGCCCUUACGUCCGGGGCUACACACGUGUUACAAUGGGGGGUACAGAGGGCCGCUACCACGCGAGUGGAUGCCAAU